Molecule: non-coding RNA, 342 nt
Organism: Vicia faba (fava bean)
Lineage: Eukaryota; Viridiplantae; Streptophyta; Magnoliopsida; Fabales; Fabaceae
Source: the annotation of a GenBank genome assembly
AUGGAAGGUUUGAUUCCAUAUCUUAUUCAUGCCAUCAAGAAGCAGAAGCCGCAUCAACAUAGUCUCAACAGGAGUGUCUCUCAUUCUGGGAGCAUAAGCCGUAGCUACCACUUGCUGUUGGAAUCUGAAUCCGUGUCAGGAUCUUCUCAUAGAAGAACUAGAUCUGAAUUUCAGCAACCCACAAGUGAGUUCUUAGAGCAUAGAUUUGGUGUUGAUGGAGUUUUGGUUAGCCCCAGAGGCCUAACUGUCACAGCUCUGCAUCCUACCACUGCUAAUGCUACUGCUUCCCAUGAUACACCACAACCCUCGAAGAAUUUCAACAACAAUCACAAUCACAAAUGA